Long non-coding RNA from Urocitellus parryii (Arctic ground squirrel), 1284 nucleotides. RefSeq lists it as uncharacterized. Lineage: Eukaryota; Metazoa; Chordata; Mammalia; Rodentia; Sciuridae. The record is from RefSeq and is a predicted model, not a curated record.
UUUGCAAUGCACAGUGCUGGAAUUCUGGGCUCCAGGCUACUGAUUGCUCUUAUACUCCCCGGCUUCGCCGGCCGGACUCCAGUUCCAAAGGCUGGGCGAGGAAGCAACUAAUGUAGCAAGAAGCUGUGCCUGUUACCACUUGGGGUCUUUGGCCAGCGGGCGCAGAAAUUAAUUCGGUGCACCUGCAUUUUGACUGCCACCCAUCCCCAUGGGGUCAGAGGUGGAACUUCCCAUUUGCAGCCUCAUGUUAGUGCCGAUUGGAUUUUGAAUUUGGGAUCAUUUUGGAUUUUUGAGUUUUAAGAUUUUCACAGAAGAUUAAAACUAUCAGAGUGRUUGUGAAAGCUGGUCCGUGGCUGGCAGUAGAAAUGAUGUGGCAGGUCUUUGUCAUGUGACUCUGCAUGAAGCCCAUUGGCCAAAAGGRUCUGGGUGAAUCAAAAGGCAAAGCACUUUAACCCACUGCAGCCACGUGUGUAGCUUGAUCUCGUCCCUGAGCUCCACAGUAAUCUUUUUUUCUUUUCCUUCUACAAAAAAAAGUGUCAGUCUAGGGCUUAUUAGAUAUGUCUUCACAUAACCUAGGAAGAAAUUUUUAAAACAACACUUAUUUCAGGACUGAAAGCUAUCCGGAAAACUGGAGAAACGCUGACUGUCACUGUAAGGAAAUGAAAAACAGGAGGUGACAUGUUUGUGUUGGGCAGAUGGGAAGUGGCUUUCUGUAUUUCCAUAGGUAAUUAUGACAUCAUCAAGGAAAUGUGAGAAAGCCAUUAGCAUUGCACAGAUGCCUGCUGAUCUGUUUCUGAACGUUGUUCGGUUGAACUCAACCACAGUUGCACGUCUACUUUUUCAAAGUAUGUGUGAUGUUUUAGUUUUGUUAAUUUGUUUUGAGUUAAAAUAUGUGAUCCCUCUUAAAUAUUCCAUUUCUAAAUCACUUCUAAAAUUAAGACUAAAGUAAUGAAUUCACGUAAUGCUGACAUUUCAGAAAAUAGCUAUCCUAUUGUUAAUAGUGGAAUUACGAGAAAUAAGUCCUUCUGUAAUAAGCAGUACCUAUUGUCAAUAUUUAUUUGAAUAGCUAACUGACUAUCUGGAGGAUGUGUGUUUUCUUGCAAGCCUAGGAUGCUAGAAAUAUAAGGAAGCGUUAUGCUUCCUUUCUCUGGCAAGAGCAGUAUAUUUGCUCUCUGUGGGGACCUGUUGGUCACUGAGCAAAUCACUGUUCUACGUAUAACCUUGAUGAUUUACAUGAUUCUCUAAAAAGCACACACUCAGGGUUUUGUUCCAAAAGCAUAAUAU